GGAGGCUCCUACCUUGCCCAAGGGCCUCCUGCACCUGCGUCUGAGAUCUGAUUUCUACCACUACGUGAGUGAAGUCUCGUCGGCUGGACGGUUACUGAGCCGCUUCCUCCUCCUGGCGGUGGUGGGCACAGCUGGGUUCUAGAGGGCCUAAGCUGUGGCUUCGGGCUGAUCACUGCAGCACAAUGCUGCCUAGAGCCCAAGAAUUUUCAAGUGAGAACAUGAAUUUGCAGAUCUUGGGUCCACCACCAUGAUGCCCCAUCUGGGCAGCUUGGAAACACAAGCCUGCGAGCUUUAGUUGCCGGGUCAGAGGACGAGGUUUUGAAAAUUAAAAAUAAAUAAAUAAAUAAAAUUUAAAAAGAGAAAAGAAAAAACGGGGGAAAAAGUCAGGGCUUGGAAAAUACUAACGAGGGGACUGGAUGUUUGAAACUCAAAUGCCAAUUUUUCAGGUCAUUUGACACCAACAACAAUGGAUAUUUUUAGACACGCUCUUCCUUGGAAUAGAAGGCAGAAAUCCAAGUGUGUCCUCUCAUUGCACCGUGGAGCACAUAAGCUUGCCACACAGUGGGAGUUCACCAGUCUUUUACCUCACAAUGCACCCACUUGGGCAGGGGACAUCAUGUCAUAAACAUAAUUUAUUGCACAGAUAGGUCUGUCACUUGCCUAACUCUUCACUUGGUGAUUCUGAUCUAUAUGCACUUUUCUAAGGCAUAAGAUAGGCUAGAAACUACUUCCAGAUACUUAUAUUGGGUAACAUCUUUUGAGCAGGUGGAUUUUGCCCCACAGGAUUCAUGACUACGUUUUGGAGCAGAGAGUCAGCAAGCUGCUCUUUGCGGGCCAAACCUAGCCCACCACCAGCUUUCCUGAAGUUUAAGAGCUAAGUAUGGUUUUUGCAUUUUUAAAUGAUUGGGGAAUACUCAAAAGAACAAUAUUUCAUGAUGUGCAGUUUAUGAAAUUCAAACUCAGUGCCAUGAAUAAGGCCAUGUUUAUUCUAGUACAGUUCAGGGGUUGUGACAGAGACCACAAUGUCUAGAAUAUUUACUACCUGACCCUUUACCAAAACAAAGUUUGACAUCUCCUGCCUCAGAGCAAUAUCAGAGCAAACCUCUCAUUAAAUAUAUUUCUGGUGAUUUUUAAUGUGAAAAAUGGUGCUGACAAAUGCAGAAGAGAUUCACUUUUAACUAUGCUGAUUCUAUGUGCAGUGGACUUGGAGAUAAUAACUUUUUUUAAAAGAGAUAGAGAGAAUUUUUUAAUAUUUAUUUUUAGUUUUCAGCAGACACAACAUCUUUAUUUGUAUGUGGUGCUGAGGAUUGAACCCAGCGCCACGCGCAUGCCAGGCAAACAUGCUACCGCUUGAGCCACAUCCCCAGCCCCAAGAGAUAAUUACUUUUUAAUUUACCAGUGCCGUGACUGUGACAAGGAAAAAGAUCCCUUUCCAAAUUAAAAAAUCUAAAUAUGUUAAAGGUAAUUUCUAUUGUACAUCAAAAGACAUACUAAAGAAAAUGAAAAGACAAGCCAUAAACUGAAUAUAUUUCCUUCAAGUAACAUCCACAAUAAAUAGUAUUCAGAUUACAUAAAGAACUUCUAAAAUAAGCAAUAAAUAAAAGCAAUCAAAUGGGCUUAUGUUCAUAUAUCUAUAGCAAAAGCUCCAAACAUGUUGACAUAUACAAAAUAUAAGCUUAUUUUUCUCUUACAUAAAAGAAGUCUAGAAUUGGCAUUCUGGGGUUGGCAUGGUGGUUCUGUGUUCAUCAGGAACUCCAGACUCUUCUUUUUUUUUUUUUUUUUCCUGCUCUAACAUCCUUUUAUGCAUCUACAAGGUUAUCAUCUAAUGGUUCAAAGUGGCUGCUGGAGUUUCAGCCAUCAUAUCUAGAUUUCAAGCAGUAAGAAAGAGGAAGAGGAUGAAAAGGAAAUAGAGGAGGUGGAGGAAGAGAGGAGGGUGAAGGGGAGGAGGAGAGUGCUACCACUCAGCUGAGCCAGCAAACUAGAGUACCUUUCCAAAAGUCUCAAUACUUCUACAUACAAUUUGUUGGCCAGAACAUACACCUACCUAAAUGCAAGUGUUAAUAAAGAUGAGUAGAUGAGUACAACCAUUUGCACAAUAAUCUGGCAUUAUCUGGUAAAGUUGAAUAUUCACAUACUGUGCAACAUGACAGCACAAUUCUGAUCUAAAAGUCUAUCCUAGAGAAAUUUUUGCACAAGUAUCCUAGGAGAUAGGUGUAAUAAUAUUGCCAGUACAUUUGUACAUCAACCUAAAGCUAGAAAAUAACCUUAGUGUCCACCAAUGCUAAGUGAGUUAAUCAACUUGGAAUUUUCAUAUAAUUUAUGUAAGUUUAAUAUAGCAGUGAAAAUUAAGGAACUUUAUCUUCAUUUUUGUGUGUGUGCUUUGUUGUUGUUGUUUGGUUGAUUUGUUUGUUUUUUGAUACUGGGGAUUGAACUCAGGAAUGUUUUACCACUAAGCCACAUCCCCAGCCCCUUUGUAUUUUGUAUUUUGAGAUAUAAGUUCUCACUAAGUUGGUUAGGGUCUUGCUAAGUUGCUGAGUCUGAUCUGGAACCUGUUAUGUUCACUUAUUCAUACGAAUUGCACAAGUUUACUGUUGAAUGGGGUGGGGCAGGUGUAUUAGUUUGGGCUGUCAAAACAAAGUACCAUAAACUGGGUAGCUUAAACAAAAUAAAGAUUAUUUCUCACAGUUCUGGAGGCUAGAGAGUCCAAAGUCAAGCAAGAUGCCACCUGGUUUGGUUCCCAGUGAAAGCUGUCUUUCUUACUUGCCUAUAGCCCCUCCCAUCUAUGUCCUCACAUGGGUAUGGGAAAAGUGGUAGGAAGGAGAGGGGCAGAGAAAAGGAGAGAGGAGAGAGAGGAAGUUCUCUAAUGGUUCUGUUUAUAGGACACUAGUCCCACCAGAAGUACCCUGUCCCCAUCUAAACCUAAUUAUUUCCUAAAGGUUUCAUCUCCAAAUACCAUCACAGGGGUGGGGUGGGGUGUUGGGGUCUCAACAUAUGAAUUCAGGGUGGGGGGGCGUGGAUACUAUACACACCAUAGCAGCAAGUCACUGGAAAAAUGCACAUAGUAUGACCUUACUUAUACAUAGUUUGAAAAGAUGCAAAAUUUAGCAUUUAGGGAUAUGAACACAUAUAGCAAAGUUAUGAAGAAAAGGAAAAAAAAUAUAAAAAGAAUGCUGGAUAGUAGUUGCUCCUGGUAGAGAGGUGAGAUGGGAUUGUAGAGAGGUACCAAGCAGUCCUGACAGGUAAUUCACUGGGAGUUGUUUUAGGAUACAGCUAGGAAACAAUAGUAGCCUGAAUGAGAUAGAAGUUUAUUUCCCUCAAAUAUAAUGUCUGGGUAGUUAAUCCAGGGCUUGGUACAGCAGCUCCAUGAUGUCAGAGAAGUGGAUUUCUUUUAUUCUAUUAGUGUAUCAUGUUUAGGAUGUUAGUCUUGAACUUGUGAUCCAAAUGGGUGGUCCCAACUCCUGACCAACUGGGAGAGAGCAAAGAGAAGGGGGCUGCACUCCUUUUCCUUCGAAAGCCAUGACCUAAGUUUGUAUACCUCACUUUUGCUCCCAUCCCACAAGCCAGAAGGGUCACCUGCUAAAAUUUCCACUACUAUUGAAAAGUGCUAGAAUGGAUAUUAGCAAGCCAUCAAGCUAUCUCAACCACAGUUUUCAAACUGGGUAGUUCAUUUAAUCAUUACUUAUGCCAUAUAUGUGUAUAAAUAUGUAUAUUUCAUGUCAUAUCUAUGUACAGACACAGACAUCUGGCAUAAAUAUUUCAAUUUAUUUUGCAAUAUAAAAUGUUUCAUAGUUAAAAUGUAGCAAAAAUAAUAAAAAGGAAAAAGAACCAUUUUUUCCCCUCAUCAUGCUCUAGGCUGAUUUCCCUUCUUAUUGCUAUUUGUGGUAAAUAUUUGGAAAUUUCACUUUAAUUCAAGGCAUGCUGAGGCGCAUCUGCCCCUUUUACCUUAUCUACUGCAUGUAAUGCAGUCCAAUACCAAAAACAAAUAGAUUCACAGUUUCCUGUUACUUCACCAGACUCCUUCCCAUUAACAUGAAUUAUUACAUGGUGAUGUGUACAUCUAUCAUAUACAGUAUAGUGACAAUUUUACCUUUUUCGUUUUUUUUAAAAAAAUUGUAGUUGUAGAUGGACAGAAUACCUUUAUUUUGUUUAUUUUUAUGUGGUGCUGAGAAUUGAACCCAGUGCCUUACACGUGCAAGGCAAGUGUUCUGCCGCUGAGCUACAGUCCCAGUUCAGUUUUUCCUGUUCUUGAACUAACCUGGUAGCUCACAUGAGUUCCUAUCUUGGGCACUAUUCUGAGUGUCAAGAGUUACUUUCUUUGAUUAUCACAAAACCCUUACAAAAUAGUCACCAUAAUCAUCUUUAUAUUAUAGAUGAGGAAACUGGAGUAUAGGGAGGUUCAGUAAUUUCCUAGGAUUGCACAGCUAGUAUUGUGAUAAAGCCAGGAUUUGAGCCUACACAGUCUAAUUCCAGAGUCCAUACUCUUAACCACUGCAAAAUAUCACCCAGUAAGUUGGACAAUUAAGUAUAAAUUGAACAAGACUGAUCUGAAAACCCCAAAUCCAAAAUAUUCUAAAAUUUGAAACUUUUGGAAUGUCGGCAUCAUGACACCAUAAGUGGAAUAUUACACACCUGAUCUCAUGACAGUCAGGUCUUAGGACACAGAAGCUCUCAAAAUACUGUAUAAAAUUACUUUCAAGCUAUGUUUAUAACUGCACAUAAACAUAUAUGAAUUUGGUGUUUUCACUUAGGUCUUACCAUCUCAUAAUGUAUAUGCAAAUAUCCAAAUUCUGAAAAAAUCCCAAACCUGAAACACUUCUGAUCUCAAGCAUUUUGGAUUAGGGAUACUCAAUCAGUAUUGGACUUAUAUGGACAUUUUGUCAACAGUAAACUCUUCAGUUUCUAUAUAUCAUGUAGCAUUUGUGCCAUUAUAAUUCAUUCUAAAUAUUAUGUAAAGAAUUUUGGGGGAAGGGGUUGUGGCUUAGUUGUAGAGCAUCUGCCUAGCAUGUGUGAGGCACUGGGUUUGAUCCCCAGCAUCACAUAAAAAAACUAAAUAAAAUAAAGGUAUUGUGUCCAUCUACAAAUACACACACACACACACACACACAAAGAAUUAUUUGGAUAAGGUGUACCAAGCUACAGUUAAGAGGAAUGAGUUAUAGGGCUCUACCUCACAGGGUGACAAUAGCAUACAACAAUUUGUUAUAUAUUGUAUAAAGAACUAAAAGAGUCUGAAGUCUCUGAACACAAAGAAAUGAUCAAUGUCUAAGGAGAUGGAAAUGCUAAUCACCCUUCUUUAGUCAUUGCACAUUGUAUACAUGAUUGAAUUUUCAUACUGUACCCCAUAAAUAUGUGCAAUUAUUAAGAAUCAAUGAAAAAUAAUAAAGAAUUAUUUUACUAAAUUUCCUAAAACUGAGGAUACAUUCCCCAGUUCAGAAGCCUUUGAUGAAGUCCCACCUACCUAGCUUGGGAUUUAAAAGCCUGAUCAUUUUUCUAGUUUUACCUCCCAAAUUUCUCUUCCCUUCCUCUUGUCCCUAAAUCUCAUGCUUCGGCUGCAUGGGUCCAUUAGCUGGCCCCUCAUUUGUUCCCCAUUGGAGAGUACCCUCCAUCCCUUACCACCCUGAAACACUAUCAGUCAGGGCUCAGCUUAAAUUCAUUCUUCUCCAAGAGGACCACCCGGAUUCUACUAGUUGUACCUCUCUUGCUCCCACACAACCAGAGUAUUUUGUGCCUUGUAAUCCAGCCUAUUUUUGGUUAUAAUUUAAUUAUUGAUCUAUCUCCCCACCUAGCUCAUACAGUACCAGUGCUACAUCACCAUGCCAAGUAUCUGCCUCAGUAUCUGAAAUUACUGUAACUGUACCCCAUAAAAUAUAUACAAUUAAAAUAAUACAUUUUUUUUUUAAAUACCUGGCUAGACUAGCAAAAUUGAUGGUGUAAAGCUAUCUGCGUUGUGUUUAGAAUUCUGAGCUUCAGACUAUAGGCUGGAGUAUUUACAAUUGUUAUGGUCUGUAGUUUUAUAAAUACUCAUUUCCCCCAUUUUCUUUUAUUUAAUUUCUGUCUUAAUGAUUUUGUACUUUGAGAUUCUAAUUCAAAUUUUAUGAAACUGUGCUACUUUUAAAAUUUGUGGGUAAUUAGAGAUGCACUGUUCAAUAGCAGAUCAACUAAAACCUUUGCUCUCUUCUAGAAAUACUUCAUUUCCUACUCCAGAUCAGAAAAACAAAAUUUCACAAGAGAAUCCCUGAGAUGUUGUAAUUGUGCUUUUUAUCUGAAAAAAAAUUGCAAAAAACAAUUUAGGGUUAAGGAAACUGUAUUCCCUUGGAGACAUAAUUCUUAAUCUUGUUUAUAUCCUUUGUUUUUCAUUUAUUAUCCUUUUCUGAGUAAAUGCCCUACUGCUUUAAAAUGUUUUCCAAGGUAUGAUUUGAGGAGUGCUGAAGGGAACCCCCUUCAUCAAAAAUUCCCUUUUCAGCAAUUUGGGCUGCCUAAAGUCCCACAGCAAUUUAUUCUUUCUUCCGGCUUAGAGUUUUUAAGAGUAACAGGUUAAGUCACAUUUGGAUGUCAGGUAAUGUCAUUAUCAGGAAUACCUGAAAGGGGAUUCAGUUAUCAGAACAGCUUUCCCUUAGGACAAGUGAGAGAAAAUGGCCCCAAAUAAAUAUCCAUGCAAGGAAUGAGACAAAAAGAGAACUGGAGCCUGGCCUCUCCUACAUGAAUGAACGCUGAACCACCAGAGAGCCAGUUGAAAUGCAGAUUCUGAAUUUGUGGAUUUGGGAAAAGGCCUGAGAGUUUUCAUUUUAAAAAGCUCUCAGGUGACCAAAGCUGCUGGUCAUCAAAUCACAUUUUGGGUAACUAGGGACCAAAGCACAGGUUUUUUUUUUGUUGUUGUUUGUUUGUUUGUUUUAAUGUACCCGGAAUUGAACUCAGGGGCACUUGACCACUGAGCCACAUCCCCAGCCCUAUUUUGUAUUUUAUUUAGAGCUAGGGUCUCACUGAGUUGCUUAGCACCUUGCUGUUGCUGAGGCUGGCACUCUUGAUCCUCCUGCCUCAGCCUCCUGAGCCUUGGUGCCCGGUGUAGCACAGGGUCUUAGAAGGCUUUAGUGAGGCACCACUCUGAGAAGCCUUAUUGGUCCCACUGAACAGGGAAUGAGUAGAAAGAAGAGAGAAAAGACUCAGAUGGCAAUUAAGGGAUGAGAAAGACUAACUGGACUCAAUUUUGCCUUCAGCUGGUCUUUCCAGAACAAAGGAUUAGAUAUUUGAUAGAUGGAGAGAUGGGUGCUAGAUGUUUAGAUAGUUAGAUUUUAUAUAUAUAAGAACUGUGUCUGGUGCUGAUUCUAUGAUAAUAUCUACAAGGUAACUGAAGUCUACAUUUUGGUCCUUGCUAAGGGUGUCUGCUGUUGAUGUCGUUUUUCUCAGCCAAUGCUGAGCUUCCUGGACUAAGAAACCUCUUACUCCAUGACAGUAAACCCGGAGAAACAAGCAUCCAUUUGAAGAUCCGGGAAGAAGAAAAUGUUUUGGUAUUAAAAUAAGCUCAUCUAUAAUGGAAGAGUACACCAUGCAUGGAUCACAGGCGGUGGCUGAGCGCGAACACUGUGUUCCGGAAGCCCACCAUCUCCCUGUGGUUUUCCAUCCUGCGAAAAGAGAAAUGCAGCCCAGGUGGAAAGGGUUAAGAAAGCAUGGCUGGAUUAAUGCUGCAAAGCAGAUAAACAGGAGCUCUUUUCUUUUUAUUGUUGAUUUUUCUCCUUAGGCUUCCUCCCUAGCUGCUUGCCUGGCAAGGCUAUUUCUGGCUUCAUUCCCCCCUGGCUGCUCCUGACUUCCCUUCCCUCUGUACAAAUAACAGUGCCCCACUCUGUCCUCCCCUCCUCCCUCCUGCCUGAUGCUGCUCCUUGGCCUUGGCCAUCACUGGCCCUCUUGUCACAACCUCCCAAUCUGUCUACUCGUACUUAACUCCUUAAGUGAGAGAAGUGACCCAAAGUCUAUGGUGGGCCAGAAUCCAUGCUUUUGAAAGACCCAGGACUGGAAAGACCCAGGAAACAAUCUAUGUCACCCAUGAACUCCUGCUUCUGCUACUAGGAAUGAUUUUGGAGUCCUGCCAUGAGCUAUUAAGAUGAGCAUAAAAAUAAUCCUCUUAGCAAGUCUCUUCCCCACUAUUACUCCAACUACCGCUGGCUCAGGGGCACCUCCCAAGGCAGAAAUGGGAACUGAAUUCACAGUGUCCCCCAGUGGACACUCAAGCCUGGGGCUGGGAUGAGCAGCUCCAAGGCACUUCAUCCCAUAGCCUGCAGAGGAUAUACUUGCUUGGCUCUCCAAUGCCUGGAAUUUUCCAGAGGACCACAUGACUUCAAAA
Molecule: long non-coding RNA, 8335 nt
Filed under: Marmota monax (woodchuck)
Lineage: Eukaryota; Metazoa; Chordata; Mammalia; Rodentia; Sciuridae
Source: RNAcentral